Molecule: long non-coding RNA, 1346 nt
Filed under: Cyanistes caeruleus (blue tit)
Lineage: Eukaryota; Metazoa; Chordata; Aves; Passeriformes; Paridae
Description: lncRNA (ENSCCEG00000004500.1)
Source: RNAcentral
AGCAGGAGGACAGCAGCCAGCGCUGAGAGGCCCAGGCGCAGGGGGACACCGUCGGGGACGUCGCGCUGGAGCAACCGCUCCCGCCAGCCACGUCGGGCCUCAACUCGGACCUCUAACAGCAGCACGUAGUGUCAUCUUCUCUUUCUAGUCCCUCUGUUUGUGGCUGUAAGUGAAGUAAAGCCUUUCUUCAGUAAAGCAGAGGGAGAAGGAAGAGAGUGAGACACUGCCUCAAGUGUCUGGAGAAAUCGACUGCGACACUGCUGCUGAUUUAAAAGACUUGCUUGGACCUUCAAAGGUCAAACCGGAAAAGACAGUGGAAAUAGCCUGGGACCAAGAGGAUGCGCAGGACUCUGCCCCAGACGAAUGUCUGGGACCUUUGCCUGAAAACGACGGAACUCAGGAGUCGAGUGCUUUCAAGUUUUCCUUCUUUGAAGACACAGAGGAGUUGGGCAUCAAAGAAGGGCCUCACAUACUUGGAACGAUAAAACCGGAAAAAGUCACGUGGCAAGAGGAUUCACAUUUCCAAGACAUCACUUCUGAGGGUGCUGAUGAGCCGGAGAUGUCAGAAAUUGCAAAGCACCAAGAAAGAUAAUUACCUCAUAGCUAUAGGAACGUUUAGAGCUUAGCAGAAAAAUAGUCACUAGACAGGUUAGCGAGACAUUUGGGAUCCUUUCAGGUAGGUCUAUCUCCUUUAACUUUUUCCUGUCUUUCUGGUGUUACUGUUAGAUAUGCCGAGUGUUCUUGUCAGCCACAUACGUCCGUGCGGUUCUUCAUCCUAAUGAAUCUGGGGCUUGCUCUUCUGAAGCCAGUGAAUUUUCGAUUUAAAAACAAAGACAACAACAACAAAAGAAAACAUACACAGCCCCCAAAAAUUACACAGGCCACCAAAACAAUUGCUUGUUCUAUUUUGUAGAAUAUAGUCUCAAGACAGGCUUAAAUGACGUUUGUUUCUUGAGACUUGCUAGAUAACGCGGAUGAAAUGUAUGGCUGUGUUCAUACAGUUACGGCCCUGCAAUCUUCCAGCCCGUCUGAUUUGCAGGGUGUGUCAGAAUGGAGAUCUCAGCCCCUGGCAGGCAGCGCUUCUGGGGCCAGCUGUGGGAUCCUGCUGCUGAGCAUUUAAUGCAAGAGCUGCUGUUUCACUGCAAUUUAGAUUGCAGCAUGUUCAGGGAGACAGCUGCUGCCUUUCAUUUUUCUUAGUACACCAGGCUGCAGUAGGGAACAUUUCUGCUGGAGCCAACAUGUGGUGGGGGAGAAGAGAAUAGGAGGGACGUGGAGGAUAGAGCUUCUGACUUUAUCGUGUUGUUCAUUCAUGAUUGUUGGGAGCAGCAGCCGAAUCAGAAGAGUUG